GACGAACGCUGGCGGCGUGCCUAAUACAUGCAAGUAGAACGCUGAAGGAGGAGCUUGCUUCUCUGGAUGAGUUGCGAACGGGUGAGCAACGCGUAGGUAACCUGCCUGGUAGCGGGGGAUAACUAUUGGAAACGAUAGCUAAUACCGCAUAAGAGUAGAUGUCGCAUGACAUUUGCUUAAAAGGUGCAAUUGCAUCACUACCAGAUGGACCUGCGUUGUAUUAGCUAGUUGGUGAGGUAACGGCUCACCAAGACAACGAUACAUAGCCGACCUGAGAGGGGAAUAGCCCACGCUGGGACUGAGACACGGCCCAGACUCCUACGAGUGACAGCAGUAGGGGAUCUUCGGCAAUGGACGGAAGUCGGACCGAUCAACGCCGCGUGAGUGAAGAAGGUUUUCGGAUCGUAAAGCUCUGUUGUAAGAGAAGAUCGUGUGUGAGAGUGGAAAGUGCACACUGUGACGGUAUCUUACCAGAAAGGGACGGCUAACUACGUG
This 495-nucleotide ribosomal RNA is filed under the name uncultured bacterium. RNAcentral's name for it is "partial 16S ribosomal RNA". It matches the Rfam family "Bacterial small subunit ribosomal RNA", at positions 28 to 507 of the family's 1533-position model. The record is from RNAcentral.